This 138-nucleotide ribosomal RNA is filed under the name uncultured eukaryote. RNAcentral describes it as "partial 18S ribosomal RNA". It matches the Rfam family "Eukaryotic small subunit ribosomal RNA", at positions 1299 to 1458 of the family's 1831-position model. The record is from RNAcentral.
UGGUGGAGUGAUUUGUCUGGUUAAUUCCGUUAACGAACGAGACCCCGCCUGCUAAAUAGUCACAUCAAUGCCUAGCCUUGGUGUUGGCUUCUUAGAGGGACUUUCGGUGACUAACCGAAGGAAGUUGGGGCAAUAACA